UCUACCAAAGGAUAAUAGUUUCCAC
This 25-nucleotide transfer RNA is filed under the name Boaedon fuliginosus (brown house snake). Its description in RNAcentral is "partial tRNA-Leu". The record is from RNAcentral. Lineage: Eukaryota; Metazoa; Chordata; Lepidosauria; Squamata; Lamprophiidae.